UGCAGCCAUGCCGCGUGUAUGAAGAAGGCUUCGGGUUGUAAAGUACUUCAGUCGUGAGGAAGGGGGUAACGUUAAUAGCGUUACCUCUUGACGUUAGCGACAGAAGAAGCACCGGCUAACUCCGUGCCAGCAGCCGCGAUAAUACGGAGGGUGCGAGCGUUAAUCGGAAUUACUGGGCGUAAAGCGCAUGCAGGUGGUUAGUUAAGUCAGAUGUGAAAGCCCGAGGCUCAACCUCGGAACAGCAUUUGAAACUGGCUGACUAGAGUACUGUAGAGGGGGGGUAGAAUUUCAGGUGUAGCGGUGAAAUGCGUAGAGAUCUGAAGGAAUACCAGUGGCGAAGGCGGCCCCCUGGACAGAUACUGACACUCAGAUGCGAAAGCGUGGGGAGCAAACAGGAUUAGAUACCCUGGUAGUCCACGCCGUAAACGAUGUCUACUUGGAGGUUGUUCCCUUGAGGAGUGGCUUUCGGAGCUAACGCGUUAAGUAGACCGCCUGGGGAGUACGGUCGCAAGAUUA
Molecule: ribosomal RNA, 516 nt
Filed under: uncultured bacterium
Lineage: Bacteria
Description: bacterial SSU rRNA
Rfam family: Bacterial small subunit ribosomal RNA
Source: RNAcentral